GUUUGAUCCUGGCUCAGAGCGAACGUUAGCGGCAGGCUUAACACAUGCAAGUCGAGCGACAAAGGGGCUUCGGCCCUGAGUAGAGCGGCGGACGGGUGCGUAACACGUGGAUAAUCUGCCUCGUGGCGGGGGAUAACAGUCCGAAAGGACUGCUAAUACCGCAUGUCAGGUCGGAAACCCUGGUUUCUGACGAAAAAGAGGGCGCCCGCAAGGGGCUCUCACCACGAGAUGAGUCCGCGGCCCAUCAGCUAGUUGGCGGUGUAAUAGACCACCAAGGCUAAGACGGGUAGCUGGUCUGAGAGGAUGACCAGCCACACUGGGACUGAGACACGGCCCAGACUCCUACGGGAGGCAGCAGUGGGAAUAUUGGACAAGUGGGCGAAAGCCUGAUCCAGCCAUGCCGCGUGAGUGA
Molecule: ribosomal RNA, 412 nt
Filed under: uncultured bacterium
Lineage: Bacteria
Description: bacterial SSU rRNA
Rfam family: Bacterial small subunit ribosomal RNA
Source: RNAcentral